Molecule: Y RNA, 96 nt
Filed under: Propithecus coquereli (Coquerel's sifaka)
Lineage: Eukaryota; Metazoa; Chordata; Mammalia; Primates; Indriidae
Description: Y RNA (ENSPCOG00000004871.1)
Rfam family: Y RNA
About the family: Y RNAs are components of the Ro ribonucleoprotein particle (Ro RNP), in association with Ro60 and La proteins. The Y RNAs and Ro60 and La proteins are well conserved, but the function of the Ro RNP is not known. In humans the RNA component can be one of four small RNAs -- hY1, hY3, hY4 and hY5.
Source: RNAcentral
GGCUGGUCCAAUGGUAGUGGGUUAUCAGAACUUAUUAACAUUAGUGUCACUAAAGAUGGUAUUCAACCCCCCACUGCUAAAUUUGACUGGCUAAAA